GACGAACGCUGGCGACGUGCCUAACACAUGCAAGUCAACUUGACUGAAGGAGCAAUCUGACAGUAGAGUGGCGCAAGGGUGCGUAACGCGUAAGUAACUUGCCCAAGGUAAGGAAUAACGUCGAGAAAUCGGCGCUAAUACCUCAUAAUGCAGCGGAUCCGCAUGGAUAUGUUGUUAAAGGUUUACCGCCUUGGGAUAGGCUUGCGUCUGAUUAGCUAGUUGGUGUGGUAACGGCACACCAAGGCUACGAUCAGUAACUGGUCUGAGAGGAUGAUCAGUCACACUGGAACUGAGACACGGUCCAGACUCCUACGGGAGGCAGCAGUGAGGAAUAUUGGGCAAUGCUCGAAAGAGUGACCCAGCAACGCCGCGUGGAGGAUGAAGGUAUUCUAUAUCGUAAACUCCUGUGAGAGCAGACGAAGACAGAUUAUUAAUCUGGAUGACUGUAUGCUCAGAGGAAGCCCCGGCUAACUACG
Molecule: ribosomal RNA, 476 nt
Filed under: uncultured bacterium
Lineage: Bacteria
Description: bacterial SSU rRNA
Rfam family: Bacterial small subunit ribosomal RNA
Source: RNAcentral